Molecule: non-coding RNA, 31 nt
Filed under: unclassified sequences
Source: RNAcentral
UAUGCGGAAGCCGAAAAGCAAAGAGUAGGCG